This 227-nucleotide ribosomal RNA is filed under the name uncultured bacterium. RNAcentral's name for it is "partial 16S ribosomal RNA". It matches the Rfam family "Bacterial small subunit ribosomal RNA", at positions 15 to 235 of the family's 1533-position model. The record is from RNAcentral.
GAUCAUGGCUCAGGACGAACGCUGGCGGCGUGCUUAACACAUGCAAGUCGAACGAAGAGCGAUGGAAGCUUGCUUCUAUCAAUCUUAGUGGCGAACGGGUGAGUAACGCGUAAUCAACCUGCCCUUCAGAGGGGAAUAGCAGCUGGAAACGGCUGAUAAAACCGCAUAAGCGCACAGUGCCGCAUGGCACAGUGUGAAAAACUCCGGUGGUAUGAGAUGGACCCGCG